RNAcentral lists this ribosomal RNA (253 nucleotides) under uncultured bacterium. Its description in RNAcentral is "partial 16S ribosomal RNA". It matches the Rfam family "Bacterial small subunit ribosomal RNA", at positions 524 to 776 of the family's 1533-position model. The record is from RNAcentral.
UACGUAGGGCGCAAGCGUUAUCCGGAAUUAUUGGGCGUAAAGAGCUCGUAGGCGGUUUGUCGCGUCUGCCGUGAAAGUCCGGGGCUCAACUCCGGAUCUGCGGUGGGUACGGGCAGACUUGAGUGUUGCAGGGGAGACUGGAAUUCCUGGUGUAGCGGUGAAAUGCGCAGAUAUCAGGAGGAACACCGGUGGCGAAGGCGGGUCUCUGGGCAACUACUGACGCUGAGGAGCGAAAGCGUGGGGAGCGAACAGG